RNAcentral lists this small nucleolar RNA (129 nucleotides) under Octodon degus (degu). RNAcentral describes it as "Small nucleolar RNA SNORA61 (ENSODEG00000023257.1)". The record is from RNAcentral. Lineage: Eukaryota; Metazoa; Chordata; Mammalia; Rodentia; Octodontidae.
AAUCCUGACUAGUGAACUAUUAUUAAGAUGGGCCACUCUUGGUGGUCGUAAAGGAGAAAAAGAAAUGCUGAAGCUGACCUCAUAGCCUUAUAGUCUGGUAUAUAGCAUGUGGGCUAGUUUCAAACAAGG